AGACAGUAAAAGCCGGGAAGGAGAUGCGCAAUAGUCAAGACCGUCUCAUGCCUCGGAGAUGUGCCUUGUCAAAGAAAAGAGAUCACGAAGUAGAUUUUGGAAGAGAAUGAAUUCUUUAUUUGUGAUGCUGGAACUUUCUUUUAUUUAAUAUUAAGCAUAUAUCUUAACUGAAUAAAAACUGAUGAUUUA
Equus quagga is the source of this 189-nucleotide long non-coding RNA. RefSeq lists it as uncharacterized. NCBI's taxonomy places the organism in Eukaryota, Metazoa, Chordata, Mammalia, Perissodactyla, Equidae. The record is from RefSeq and is a predicted model, not a curated record. The transcript has 2 exons.